CUCCUUUGUUCCUUGUGUCCUGCAGAACUCUCCUAUGCCCUACUCAUUGGACUGUGCACCCCUUCCAUGUCAUUUCAUGGAGCAGAGUGUCCUACACCAGGAAGAUGAAGGCCCAGGGACAUCCCUUCCCCAUCACUCUGUGGCAUGAUUUCUAAUGGGACCCUCCCACCUCCAGGACUGGAGUGCUGCAGAAGUCCCUUCUUGUGGCUGCUUCCAGGCCAGGCCACAUCUCAGGCUGCAACCAGGAUAUCUCUGAAAACAGAGGACAUGCACAGGGAGAGACAAGAACACUUACUGCUUUGUUUUAUGGCUGCCCUGAAAAUAGACAUCAGCCCCUGGAUGGUGUAGUAUACAGAAUUUUAACGAGCACAAAGCAAGCAGCUCACUUCUUACUGUGGUAUGAGAGGGGUGACGUCAACCUAUCCAUGAAAUACUGAAUUGAUUUUGAAACAGCUUUAAAGAUUCCUUCUGAGGUUUGGAAUCCUUGAGUUUCCAUUAAGGAACUGGAUGCAGAUGAAACAUUGGAGUCCCGGAAGAUGAAGUGAAACAUCAUCCUUGCUUUUUUUCUCCCAUCAUCUCAUCACGGGAUUCACUUGAGACUAAUUCUUAAAAUAUCAUUUGAAUCUUCUCAUGUUUUGAUAGCCCCACCUCUCCUGUCACAGGCCAAGCCAUCUGACAUUUUUCUGCUGAUCACAGCAAGUUUAUUGUUCACCCACUUCCUACCAGGCUUCCUAUCCAGCCUAGCUCCAAAAAUUCUAAAAGCAAUGAUAUGGCCACAUUACUGCCAAGUUUAAGCCUUCCCAUAAUCCUCAGUGUGCAUGUCAGCAGUGGGGGCAUAAAAAGCUCCUUUAAAUCAAUCUGUACCCAUGGGUUUAACUUUAGUUGCUUAUAUUCUAUUUUCAGUCUCCUCCUCCACAUUAAUGUACUGUUUUCUAUUUUAUGAUUCCCUCAAUGGCAUUGGACACAGAAAUGGAAAUGUGGCAGGAAAUAGAAAAUCUGUUUCUUCAGAUUGGGUUCUCUUGAAUCUCUGUUAUGUAUCAUAGGACAAAAUAAUUUAUAGAUACUCAACAAAUUUUGGUAAAUGAAUGGACUAUUGAAAGGUGGGUCCGUUUAUUUUCAUUUCUGGCCACAGUUACAAUAUCUCCACUGAGCCAUAGUUUACUUUCUCCAGAAUUGUUGAUAUAUAAUGAUUGAAAUGAAGGUUUCACUUAAGGUUACUUUUUCUCAGUCCCAUUGUAGUAACUUUCAAUCAGUUUAAAGUUUUUAGAUAUUGGCUGAUCAUCUCUUACAGAUUUUGUUAUGGUUCUUAAAAGAAAUAGAACCUAUCAGUUGUAAUGGGAAACAAACAAUAUAUAUAAUUUAUAUUUAAUCUAGAAAGAAUUAUUAUAAGGUUAUAAGAUAUCAGCUCAUGUGACUAUGAAGGCUGUGAAUCAACAAUCAGUAAGUCUCUAAAUUUGUAAGCUUGAGACACACAAAAACUGGUGGUGUAGCUGAAAGGCCUAAAACCUAUUGGUAUAUACACUAGUCAAGGUCUCAAAGCCUGAGGAUCCAGAGUGGCAAAUCAGCACAGUCAAGCAGAGUCAAUACAAAACUUUUUGUGCUACUCAGCCCUUCAGCUUAUUGUAGGAUACCCCCCACCUCACUGGGGAGGGAAAUCUGCUUUCUCAUUCCACCAAUUCCAAUACUAAUCUCUUCUAGGAAAACUCUCAUAGACACACUCAGAAAUAAUGUUUAACCAGCUGUCUCGUUGGCACAUAAUUAUUAAUCAUCUCAGAGAUAAUAUAUGUAACCCCCAACUUGACUUUUUAGGACACUUAAUGAAUAAAUUGUUAGUUUAUGAAAUUGGUAUAAGUUGUGAAACUUGCAUGAAUAAAUGGUAGAAGACUUUUUUCUGAGUUUGACAGGUUUUACUUUUCUUUUAAGCUUUGCUUGUUAUAUCCAGAUAUAAAACACUUUAAUAAUUCCUGUUGUUAUAUUACAAAGGAGGAUUCCAUUUCAUUCAUUAUUUGAGGUGUGAAAAGAAGGAUAACUUUUUCAUUAGUUUUCCAUCUGGUAGUAUUAACAUGGACAUUUACUUUUAGCAGUAAUCACUGGGUUCUAUUUUUUGGUGAGCAUAUUAAUAGAGUGUUAAUAUUUUUCUCCUUUAAUCUUUUCAGGAGAGAAGUUUAUCCAUUUCUUAAUUGACGUCCAAUAUGCUUGAAAAUUAGGAGUAAUAAACACAUGCAAAUUAAUGUCUGUUCAUCUUGGACAGGAAAAUCCUUUGGGUUGAAAAAAAUUUUGGUUUAAGCUUUUCCAGUAUCAUUUAUUCCCUUUUUUGCACUAAUUUUUUUUUUUUUAGGAAAAGCAUGAAAAAUUUAUAUUUGCAAAUUAUAAGUGAAAAGUGUUUCUGCAUUGGUGGUCUUAUACCUUUGAUUUCUAUUUUAUUUAUCAUUUGGUUGGCAUUGAUAUACUUUCAGAAGGACUUUUAUUUUUACUUCCAAAAUGUUGGCCAGCUAUGCUAGGCUUACUUAUACAUCUUUUGAUGACACUGUCAAAUUAGUGGAUAUUGGAAUGGCAGGGAAGAAGGAUUAAUUGGAGAGCAUUUCCAUCCAGUUGAGUUUAAUAUAGGGCAUUGUUUCAGUUCUGCCCAUCAGCCUGGAUGCUCUUGGUUUUGUAGGAUUCUCUUCAGCUGGAAUGGUGUUAUGAAGUGUAAAUGGUGGUGAAUCUGGGUGCAGAUGAUAUGCCUUAGGAUAUGAGCCUGUAUUAUUGUAACAGUGUCAAGAAAUGUAGCUCAGUUGUCUUGAGGAGUAACUGCACAGGUUAUUACUAGUUCUACUUGUGCCACACUAGUUCUCAACUAACCUUGUAAAGAAAUAUUGUAUUAUACCCAUCUCCUCUGCCAUUGGCCUCAUCCCAGAUCAUGGAUUCAGAAAAGAAUAAGGAAAUGGGGAAAUGACCUAACUGUGCCUUAGAACAUUGAUCUUUCUUGUUGCCUGCUUGCUGUACAGCUUCUAAUCUGCUUACCACCUGUGCCAAACUCAGAAUGGCUGCACAACUCAUGAGUUGUAGUGCUUCCCACAAGACCCUCUUCCACAUCGUGUUUGGCUGUUUGGCCCAUGCUGCCUGUAUAAGUUGGCAUUUCUGGAAACUAAUUUAUGCCAUAUUUGAAACCAAGUAAGAACCAUACUAUAUUCUACAGUCUUUACUGGAGUCCUAUGCUAAUAUAUCCCAAAGAAUGACUGCUGCUACCUGAGUUUCUGUAUUGGUUAGGGUUCUAUAGAGGAACAGAAUAUAUAUAUACAUAUUUAUAUAUAUAUAUUUCUAUCUAUCUAUCUAUCUAUCUAUCUAUCUAUCUAUCUAUCUAUCUGUGGGGAUUUACUAGGUUGAUUUACAGGAUCAGAGCUGGAAGAAUUCACAAUGGCUAUCUGCAUGCUGGAGAGCCAGAGAAUCCAGUAGCUGUCAGUCCAAGAAACUGGAAGCUGCAGAACAAGAAGGAUAGAGGAUGCAGUGUGGUCUGAGACCGAAGGCCUGGAAGUUGCUAGUAUGAGUCUGCACUGAAAGGCUGAAGAAAGUGGAGUCUGACAUCCACAUAUGAUGGCAGUAGCAAAAGAUGCACCUGCUCAAACAGAAGGGAACUUUUCAAAUGUGGGCCAAUUUUUCCCUCUUUCCCUUUUACUAAAUUCAGGCUCUAAGCCUAUUGGGUGGUGCCACCCACAAUUAGAGUGGGUCUCCCCCCCUUAGUUUGCUGGCCUACAUGUAAAUUAUCUCUUGAAACAUUCCACAGACACAGUCAGAAGUGUGCUUUCCUAAUUGUCUGGAUAUUUCUUAAUCUAGUCAAGUUGACUGAUCAUGACUGAUGGCCAGUCUCUCACCACUGGCCUUUCAACUAGUCCAAUACUCAAAUUGAAGCCCUACCCCAGCCGGAUCACCUCUUCCCAGCAGUCUGCAGAACUUGUUGCUGCAAUUGGGUAUAGUCUAGCACCUCCUCUGUCUGAAUAGAUGGCUGUCAGCUCUUCCUUGCUUUAUAUUCCUAAGUUUCCAUUACAAUCCCGUUCUAGCUAAAUUCCAAAGGUUCUAAAAUCUUAUUAGUGUGUUUGGUUUGUCCAUUGAUUUGUAGGUGACAAAUAUGUGUCAAAUGGAUUUGUCCCUAGAAGGCAGAAGAUAAUGUGUUCUAGAAGGAUUGAAACCUUUGGGAGUUUUAGACAGGAAUAAAGGUUUCAGCAGCCUGAAAAGGGGAGGCGGGGUGGAUGGGGAAGAGGAUGUAGAAAGAAAUAAGAUGUCUCAUGUAUAUGUGCCAACUCCCCCAAUGAUGAAUGUAAUAAUUAUU
Heterocephalus glaber (naked mole-rat) is the source of this 4306-nucleotide long non-coding RNA. RefSeq lists it as uncharacterized. The record is from RefSeq and is a predicted model, not a curated record. NCBI's taxonomy places the organism in Eukaryota, Metazoa, Chordata, Mammalia, Rodentia, Bathyergidae.